RNAcentral lists this ribosomal RNA (424 nucleotides) under uncultured bacterium. RNAcentral describes it as "bacterial SSU rRNA". It matches the Rfam family "Bacterial small subunit ribosomal RNA", at positions 917 to 1345 of the family's 1533-position model. The record is from RNAcentral.
GGACCCGCACAAGCGGUGGAUGAUGUGGAUUAAUUCGAUGCAACGCGAAAAACCUUACCUACCCUUGACAUGUCAGGAAUUUUGCAGAGAUGCGAAAGUGCUCGAAAGAGAACCUGAACACAGGUGCUGCAUGGCUGUCGUCAGCUCGUGUCGUGAGAUGUUGGGUUAAGUCCCGCAACGAGCGCAACCCUUGUCAUUAGUUGCUACGCAAGGGCACUCUAAUGAGACUGCCGGUGACAAACCGGAGGAAGGUGGGGACGACGUCAAGUCCUCAUGGCCCUUAUGGGUAGGGCUUCACACGUCAUACAAUGGUUGGUACAGAGGGUUGCGAACCCGCGAGGGGAAGCUAAUCCCAAAAAACCAAUCGUAGUCCGGAUUGCAGUCUGCAACUCGACUGCAUGAAGUCGGAAUCGCUAGUAAUCGC